AAACAUCGCCUCCUGCAACAUCAAAGUAUAGGAGGUCUUACCUGCCCAGUGAUAAAUUAAACGGCCGCGGUAUUUUGACCGUGCGAAGGUAGCGCAAUCACUUGUCUUUUAAAUAGAGACCUGUAUGAAUGGUAGAACGAGGGCUUAACUGUCUCCCCUUUCAAGUCAAUGAAAUUGAUCUGCCCGUGCAGAAGCGGGCAUUAUUAUACAAGACGAGAAGACCCUUUGGAGCUUAAGAUACAUAAUCACCUGCACCAAUAAUUAAUCAAAAUUAAAUUAAACCAAGCAAUAUCUGAUUAACAUCUUUGGUUGGGGCGACCACGGGAAAAAAUAAAACUCCCAUGCGGAAUGGGACAACCCCUAAAUCUUAGAAAGACAUUUCAAAGCAUCAAAACAUUUGACCAUGAAGAUCCAGCCACAAACUGAUCAACGAACCAAGUUACCCAAGGGAUAACAGCGCAAUCCCCUUCUAGAGCCCCUAUCGAAAAGGGGGUUUACGACCUCGAUGUUGGAUCAGGACAUCCUAAUGGUGCAGCCGCUAUUAAGGGUUCGUUUGUUCAACGAUUAAAGUCCUACGUGAU
RNAcentral lists this ribosomal RNA (581 nucleotides) under Aspredo aspredo. RNAcentral's name for it is "partial 16S ribosomal RNA". It matches the Rfam family "Bacterial large subunit ribosomal RNA", at positions 1811 to 2604 of the family's 2925-position model. Lineage: Eukaryota; Metazoa; Chordata; Actinopteri; Siluriformes; Aspredinidae. The record is from RNAcentral.